ACAGCCGCCAGCUGUGUCAUACGCUGCCAUCUAGAUCUAGAUGGUUGGUUUCGGGGGAUCAUGUGAGAAAUUGCUUUCAAUUUUAAAAUACAGUGGUCUAUAUUAUUUAUUCAUUCAUAAAUUGACUUAGUUGAGUUUAUUGCUUGUUCAAGUGUGUUUUGUCGUCAAGUAACACUUGUGUCUGGAGUUUACUGGAUUGGAGUUUGGUGAAACACAAUAAGAUCAAACUGUAUACCAGUGACGUGCGGUGACCUAAACACCAGUGAGUUUAGUCGGAGGUGUGUGUCCACGGGUGUGUUGACGCGCAGUGUCUCAGGGAAGUCGACGGCAGCUUUAUGGACGGGGCAAGCUCAGCUGAUAUCCGGUAGUGACUAAACUUGGUUGACUGGGUCCUCUUGCUGCUGGAUACGUCACAACACGACCUACGAACAUUUUUCAGGACUUACCUUAUGUUUGUAAUACAGCCCGUGCGUACUACAGUCAAGGAGACAACAAGAUGGGUGCCACUACUGCCAAGAAGCCCUCAACUUCUCAGUGUCCAUUUUUUGGAAAACAAGAAUAUUGGCUUGAGACAGAGAAACCCGGAGUCCAGAAGAGUAGGAAAUAGAGAAAAAGAGGAAUUCCUGCUGAGCUUUUUGGAAGAUGUGCAUGACUAUAACACCAGCCCACAAAGACUGGAUACUUCGUGAAGUCACAGCAAGUUGGACAUACUUGUUUUGAAAUUUAAUAUAGCGCUCAGCCAGUGUUGGAGGAGUUCCUUCCCCUCAGCUUCAGACUGUGAGGAAAUAUGUAAAAAGGAACCUGGAAGACCAUGAUGAUUGGCACUGCAGCAAUCUUGGUUGGACGGGCAGGAAGGUUUUUACCUGGUGCGGACACAUAGCAAACCGUUUCAGAGUCCCCCUUUGGACAUCCACCGUACUCUGUUGUGCAGCAGGAGAUCGAAAAUUUCCAUGAGCCAACAGCAGGCCUGUCGCUGAUGUUGUUUUGGAGCCAGAUGUAGCUGCUCCAUGGCGCACACUGUAAUGUAAGUCUAUAGGACAUGGAUGUGCUUAUUAAAAGGGGUUUAAAGUUGGAUGAGAUCGACGUUAAUACUGUCUCACAAUGUGCAUGUAUGGUUCAGCUUCCAACAAUGCUUUAUAAUAUUGUGGUGAUAAUGUGGUAAGAUUCUUGGUCCCCUGGUGUCCUAAUUGACAGCUGAUAGGUAGAUGAAAGGGGCGGGCGCCCUCCGUUUUCUCUUCGACCCUCUGUGACGCCUGCUGUCUUUAGAAAAUACUCUGCUCUUAAUCAUCCACGCUUUGCAGGAAAUAAGUAACGGUUGGUUGUGUGUCAUUAUCACUAGAGGGACUUCAUAUCCGAGCAGAUUACAAGAACUAUAUUAAGAUAUGACAGACAUUUAAAUAUGUACAGACAUAUGGUAUACGGUGACAUAAUGACCUCAUUUGGUUGCUUGGAAAGUCAUACUUCUGUAUUUCACCUUCUUUAACCCUGGAUAUUUUUUCUAGUCCUUGUUUAGACUGAAUUUUUCUGUUUGUCCUUGGGCAAAUUUGAUCUUAUCAAAAACCUUUGUGUUGUACUGCAUCUUCCUAUUAAAAAUAAGAGCUACAUUAAAGCCAUAAGCACACGCACAAUCUUUGGAGAUACAUUUUUUCCAGUUAUAGUAUCUCAUAACAAAGAGUAAGGCAUCCCCUCACAUUUUAGCAAUCAUUUGUGUGGCUCUAUUUUUCUCUUCAAGGGAAACCAAUACUGUAGAAAUAAAACAUAUAAACAUUAGUCCUACAGCAUACUUAAAGUAGUAUUAGGAUUAAGACUGUGCUACAAAAAAUUGGUGCUCACACUUAAUAUUGACACCUCGGACCAAAUGGGCCUGAUUUACCAAGAUCCAACUACCACGCACUAAACAGCGUGUGCUAUUUAUAAAAUAACAUGUACUAUUAGUGGUCGUGUUGUGUUGCAAUUUACUAAGAAUAUGUUUACAAUUGUAAAAGUGGUGCAAACCGCCUUAUUUAAAUGAGGAUUUUGCAUGAACUAUAUGUGGCAUCACCACAGAGACACUCUUACUUCCUGCACAUUCAUGUUAUCAUGCUCCUACUUGUGGCAUUUCGCUAGGUUUUUAAACAUGCAUGUACCACUUAUUAUGUGCCAAAGGAUUGCUCAUUGGGGAGAGCCUGCACUUACUCCCGCUUAAGACACACAAAAAUGCAUGAUAAAAUAUUUUGAUAUAGGAAAUAUUUUAACGUGAAAUAAACAAAUGUCAUUAAAAUAUUAAAUGACAGCAAAACGCAUAAAUUCAAUUUGUUUUUAAUACGUCAUUAAAUCCUUUAGCAGCUAUAAAGUUAUAAAAUAAUGUUGCUGAAUAGGCUAUCUGUGUAACAUUUUUUUAUUACUGACCGUCUAAAAUGUUGACACACACAUAGGGCAGAGGAUUAUGUGUCCAUCGUCUGUCUGGGCCGCGCAAGCACCAAUCAUGCAGCCGUGUGUGGAACUGUUAGUUUGCCCAUCCUUCUGACACGUGCAAAAUAAAACAAACAUGGUGUUCACAAAAUGAUGAGUGUUGAUAAAUCACAUUGCGCGUGCUAUAUAAUCUUAUUUAUAUUAUGAUACUUUUAUGAUCUUAUUUAUAUUAUGAUACUUUUCUGACAUGCUGUAAUGAAACAACUGAAAAAAAUGUGAUGCAUUACAUUGUGUCGU
Molecule: long non-coding RNA, 2688 nt
Organism: Nerophis ophidion (straightnose pipefish)
Lineage: Eukaryota; Metazoa; Chordata; Actinopteri; Syngnathiformes; Syngnathidae
Exons: 9
Source: RefSeq, a predicted model, not a curated record